UACGUAGGAGGCGAGCGUUGUCCGGAGUUACUGGGCGUAAAGGGUGCGUAGGCGGUUUGGUAAGUCUGAUGUGAAAUCUAUGGGCUCAACUCAUAGUCUGCAUCGGAAACUGCCGGGCUUGAGUGUGGGAGAGGUGAGUGGAAUUCCUGGUGUAGCGGUGAAAUGCGUAGAUAUCAGGAGGAACACCUGUGGCGAAAGCGGCUCACUGGACCAUAACUGACGCUGAUGCACGAAAAGCUAGGGGAGCAAACAGG
Molecule: ribosomal RNA, 254 nt
Filed under: uncultured bacterium
Lineage: Bacteria
Description: partial 16S ribosomal RNA
Rfam family: Bacterial small subunit ribosomal RNA
Source: RNAcentral